This 813-nucleotide non-coding RNA is filed under the name Xenograpsus ngatama. The record is from RNAcentral. Lineage: Eukaryota; Metazoa; Arthropoda; Malacostraca; Decapoda; Xenograpsidae.
UAAAUGUUUGAUUUUGGCUUAAAAUUUUAUGUUACUGCUAAAUUUGUAUGAAAAUAAUUGUGUGGAAUAAAAUUUUAUUUUAUAUAAAAUUUAUUAUAAGGAAAUUAUAAUUUUGAACUAUUUAUUCUCAGCAUGAAGUAUUAUAACUUAUAUGCAUGAAAAUGUGAGUUAGUAGUAGUAAUAAAAAUCUGAUAAAUAUUUGUGCCAGCAUUCGCGGUUAGACUUUAAGGUUAAGUAAAAUUUAUUAGUGUGUUAGUUAGAUGAAUAUUUUAGUAAGUUAUUGGUAAUAAGCAGUGAAAUUUGGUUGUUACUUUAUAUAGAUAAUAAAUAGAAAUUGAAGCUAAAAAAGUUUAAUUAUAAACUAGGAUUAGAUACCCUAUUAUUUAAAAGAGAAUUUGUACACUAGAUUAGUAGUAGAUAUAUACUUAAAAAUUAAAAAAUUUGGCGGUAAUUUAGUCUUUUCAGAGGAAUUUGUUUUUUAAUCGAUAAAACACGUAAUAUCUUACUUAUUUUAAUUAGUUUGUAUACCAUCAUUAUUAGUUAAUCUUUAAGGAUAGAAUUUACUAAAAUUGUUUUUAAUAAAUAAAUUAGAUCAUGGUGCAGUUUAUAGAUAAGGUAAAAUGAAUUACAAUAAAUUAAUUUAUAUGAAUUAAUAAAUUAAAUUUUAUUAUGAAGGAGGAUUUGAUUGUAUUAUAAGUUUAAUAAGCUUUAAAGAUAUAGGCUCUAAAUUAUGUACAUAUCGCCCGUCGCUUUCAUUAUAAUUGAAAUAAGUCGUAACAUAGUAGGUGUACUGGAAAGUGUACCUAGAAUUAC